UUCUUAUAAAAGGCUAAUGAUAUUUAUAUUGGUUUGUUAUUAUUAAAAUAUUAUUUAUUUUUUAACCGUAUAUAAGUAAAAUGAUAUUUUUAUUAUGACAAAUAUGUUUUUUCAAAAGUUCCAACUAAAAAAAUUAUAUAAAAAUAUUCUUUCAAAAAUCAUCUUCUUACUUUAUAAGUGAACAUGAUUAUUAUAAUAUAAGAGAGGUAAAAAUAUCAAUUUAUCUCAUUUGCAAAUCAGAGUUUAGUAUUUUAUCUAUGAUUAACUAUAUUUUUCUAACGGAUUUCGAAUAGCAGAGCUAUAUUUGAAAACGUUAAAACUUUUGCAAGAAAUAAAAAUAAAAAGUUGAACUUUGUAGAAAUAUACCUGCUAUUUAAUAUGUUUACAGAAAGCUCUAUGUAAUUAACUUUUUUUUUUGUGG
Molecule: long non-coding RNA, 421 nt
Filed under: Ananas comosus (pineapple)
Lineage: Eukaryota; Viridiplantae; Streptophyta; Magnoliopsida; Poales; Bromeliaceae
Description: long non-coding RNA (ACOM_LNC032927)
Source: RNAcentral